Molecule: non-coding RNA, 27 nt
Filed under: Homo sapiens (human)
Lineage: Eukaryota; Metazoa; Chordata; Mammalia; Primates; Hominidae
Source: RNAcentral
CCAGGAAAGCAUGCAUUUCUAGGGCCA